Molecule: ribosomal RNA, 1111 nt
Filed under: Brachybacterium paraconglomeratum
Lineage: Bacteria; Bacillati; Actinomycetota; Actinomycetes; Micrococcales; Dermabacteraceae
Description: bacterial SSU rRNA
Rfam family: Bacterial small subunit ribosomal RNA
Source: RNAcentral
ACGUGGCGGCGUGCUUACACAUGCAGUCGAACGAUGACGGUGGUGCUUGCACCGCCUGAUUAGUGGCGAACGGGUGAGUAACACGUGAGUAACCUGCCCUCCACUUCGGGAUAACCUCGGGAAAUCGUGGCUAAUACCGGAUAUGAGCACUCAUCGCAUGGUGGGUGCUGGAAAGAUUUAUCGGUGGGGGAUGGACUCGCGGCCUAUCAGUUUGUUGGUGAGGUGAUGGCUCACCAAGACGAUGACGGGUAGCCGGCCUGAGAGGGCGACCGGCCACACUGGGACUGAGACACGGCCCAGACUCCUACGGGAGGCAGCAGUGGGGAAUAUUGCACAAUGGGCGAAAGCCUGAUGCAGCGACGCCGCGUGGGGGAUGACGGCCUUCGGGUUGUAAACCCCUUUCAGUAGGGAAGAAGCGAGAGUGACGGUACCUGCAGAAGAAGCGCCGGCUAACUACGUGCCAGCAGCCGCGGUAAUACGUAGGGCGCAAGCGUUGUCCGGAAUUAUUGGGCGUAAAGAGCUUGUAGGUGGCUUGUCGCGUCUGCCGUGAAAACCCGAGGCUCAACCUCGGGCGUGCGGUGGGUACGGGCAGGCUAGAGUGUGGUAGGGGAGACUGGAACUCCUGGUGUAGCGGUGAAAUGCGCAGAUAUCAGGAAGAACACCGAUGGCGAAGGCAGGUCUCUGGGCCAUUACUGACACUGAGAAGCGAAAGCAUGGGUAGCGAACAGGAUUAGAUACCCUGGUAGUCCAUGCCGUAAACGUUGGGCACUAGGUGUGGGGGACAUUCCACGUUUUCCGCGCCGUAGCUAACGCAUUAAGUGCCCCGCCUGGGGAGUACGGCCGCAAGGCUAAAACUCAAAGGAAUUGACGGGGGCCCGCACAAGCGGCGGAGCAUGCUGAUUAAUUCGAUGCAACGCGAAGAACCUUACCAAGGCUUGACAUGCACUGGACGGCUGCAGAGAUGUGGCUUUCUUUGGACUGGUGCACAGGUGGUGCAUGGUUGUCGUCAGCUCGUGUCGUGAGAUGUUGGGUUAAGUCCCGCAACGAGCGCAACCCUCGUUCUAUGUUGCCAGCACGUGAUGGUGGGGACUCAUAGGAGACUGCCGGGGUC